GGACUUGGGACGUUCUAGCCUCUACAAUCACCCAGGUGGUGAGCCAGCCACUCUGACCUGCCUCCUCAUCUGUAAAAUGGGCGCAGAGAACUAUCCACAUGGCCGUCUACUGAUGUUGUCACCCACUGCCUGGGGUCUUCCAGAAGGAACCGGAAAACCUACUAGACA
Molecule: long non-coding RNA, 168 nt
Organism: Trichechus manatus latirostris (Florida manatee)
Lineage: Eukaryota; Metazoa; Chordata; Mammalia; Sirenia; Trichechidae
Exons: 3
Source: RefSeq, a predicted model, not a curated record